UACGUAGGGGGCAAGCGUUAUCCGGAAUUACUGGGUGUAAAGGGUGCGUAGGCGGUAAUGUAAGUCAGGUGUGAAAGCCCGAAGCUCAACUUCGGGAUUGCACUUGAAACUACAUAACUAGAGUACAGGAGAGGUGAGUGGAAUUCCUAGUGUAGCGGUGAAAUGCGUAGAUAUUAGGAGGAACACCAGUGGCGAAGGCGACUCACUGGACUGUAACUGACGCUGAGGCACGAAAGCGUGGGUAGCGAACAGGAUUAGAUACCCUGGUAGUCCACGCCGUAAACGAUGAAUGCUAGGUGUCGGCUCGUCAAGGGUCGGUGCCGAAGUAAACACAUUAAGCAUUCCACCUGGGGAGUACGUACGCAAGUAUAAA
RNAcentral lists this ribosomal RNA (373 nucleotides) under uncultured bacterium. RNAcentral's name for it is "bacterial SSU rRNA". It matches the Rfam family "Bacterial small subunit ribosomal RNA", at positions 524 to 898 of the family's 1533-position model. The record is from RNAcentral.